GCCCGGGUGGCGAAAUUGGUAAACGCAGCGGACUUAAAAUCCGCCGAUCAUUGCGAUCUUGCCGGUUCGAGCCCGGCCCCGGGCACCA
This 88-nucleotide transfer RNA is filed under the name Gammaproteobacteria bacterium. RNAcentral describes it as "tRNA-Leu". It matches the Rfam family "tRNA". Rfam says of the family: Transfer RNA (tRNA) molecules are approximately 80 nucleotides in length. Their secondary structure includes four short double-helical elements and three loops (D, anti-codon, and T loops). The record is from RNAcentral. Lineage: Bacteria; Pseudomonadati; Pseudomonadota; Gammaproteobacteria.